Anolis carolinensis (green anole) is the source of this 3444-nucleotide long non-coding RNA. The record is from Ensembl. NCBI's taxonomy places the organism in Eukaryota, Metazoa, Chordata, Lepidosauria, Squamata, Anolidae.
ACUUCUUGACUAUAAUCUCUAUACUGCUUAAUGAUUGAGAAUGAUCUGCAAAACUUAAUAAAACAUAAUAAAAAUAAGCAAAAUGUUUGAUCAUUAAACAGAUUCAAGCCACACUUUUACACUCUUGUCAGUUCAAAAACAGGCCUGAAGAAUUGAAGGCCUUCCUCUUACUGAGCUGCCUUCAGUUGGAAUCAGCUGUGUCCCUUUUACCUCUUAUUGAUGCAUGAGUUCCAUGUGGGAGCAUAAAAUGUCUUUAAGAUAGAGGUUUGGCCAUUUGUCUUCUUUUCUCUCUCUUAAAAGCAACAGUGACUGCUUAGACAGUGGGCUGGUCCUUGUGUUGAAUUAUUUGGUGCUUGCAAGUGGCCAGCUGCAAGGCUAACAGAACCUUUUUAAAAUGCUCACUAUCUUGGAAGUCUCCAAAGGUCUGGGUCAGCUUGAAGCUUACAUUCGUGUAGAGGAAGGAGUGGCUUUCCAGAUGGACAACUAUUUGUUCUGGGAUUCUCUGCCUCACGCUGCCAUUGAGGGAACAUCUGAAAAGAAGGAGUCAAGCAAAUUUCAAGUCAUCCGUGCAUCACUUGGAAAAGUUAUGUUGAGAAACUGGAAGGGCAUCUGCUUGGCCCCAGUGGAAGUAGGAACAGAUCUCAAAACCUUCCCUGUCCUACCUGUCCAGUAUUCAGAAGAUCCUUCUCUGCAAUUUGAUGUGUUCCACCAAGGCAAUAAAAUAGCUUUUCAGGCCUCUAAUGGCCUCUUCUUGGCAAGAAUAUAUAGAAAAUCCCAUGUGCUAGAAGCAGCCACAUUUCCUCCUGAUGAUACAUGCCUUUUCCGGCCUCUGAUAGGAGAUCUUCUUCUCCCUACUAUUGAAAUACUGUCUGUGAACUUCAAAGACUUCUCACAAAUGAAAUGUCGCCGCCAUCUCUUGCACAGACAGACCUAUGUCAACCAGAGUAAGGCACCCAUUCAACACACUUUCACCAUGGACUGGGAUACUCACUGUACUGACAGAGUAAUCUGGAACCAUCUAUGGGGCCUUGGUUUGCCCUCUUCAUGUUCUUUUACUGUUGAGGAUGUGACACCCACUGUGAAGUACACAGAGGACAAUGAGUAUGUUGUCUCUGUGAGCAGGCACAUUUCUGAGAAAGUAACUAAAGAAGUGGUAGUGCCUCCCAGGUCCAAAGCCACAGCUAACCUUUGGGUAAAAAAGGACAAUGAUGCUGCUUUGCCGUUCACAGCCUUCAUUGGAAAAGUGAAACCUGGUGGGGAUGUGAUAUCCUUCAAUGAAGGUGGGGUCUGGACUGGUCUUGUCUAUUGUGAUCUCCACAUAGAGGUCACUCAGGAGAGACUUCACAAAUUGUGCACAAUUAUGUGAAACUACAGAAUACUGGUGGCCUUUCAAAGGACGUUGUGUACCAGUAUUUCAAUGACUCACUCCUGGUGGAAUGGCACUGUUAAUACUCUCCCUUAUCUUGAUCUGCCCACCCUCUUUCAGGACUGGGUUGCUCUGAGGACUGAGUCCUUUUAAGUUAAGAAGGACAAAUAUGUAAUACUUCCAACAAAACGUCCUUUCCACCUUUCAGGUGCCUGAAGCCCAAUACACGAUGGCUAUUUUUUUAUGGCUACCUUUUUAUAGUAAGAUGGCAAGCACUCGUCACCUUGAAGCACAGUCAAGAGAACAUAAAUAAAAUGGUGAAGUCUUUUUUCUGCCUUUCCUUUUUCUUGAAAAAAAUCUUGUCUUUGUUUGAAUCUACAGAUCAUGGGGAAUAGCAGGGGUGCCAUGCUACUUAGAAGAGAUGAGAAAGUUCCAUGUUCUUAGGACCACUUCAGGAUUAAAUAUUAGGGCUGUGCAAAAUUUUAUUUUUCGUUUGUAAUUCAUUAUAUUUGAAUUACAAAAAGCAAUAUUAAACAUAAGGGCCCCCUCAUGCAAAAAAACUAAGAUUCAAAACACUGACACAUGAUUUUCAGAUGAGUUUUGUAAUUCUCAUUAAUGGCUCCAGGUCUCUGUCAUGGGUGCCGCUUCUCCCCCAAAAGGGCUGGGUUUGGUUCCCCCAAAGGGCCCGAGGAGGAUGGCGAGGCCAGAGUGGAGAAAUCAGUCCUGCUGGCACAAGGCUUUAACCCACUGCACCACCAGGGGCUCCUGGUGAUCUUCAUGAUCUUGAUCUAAAUGAUCUUGGGCAAGUCACACACUCUCAGCCUCAGAAGUUAAAGCAAGCCUCCACUGAACAUAUCUUGUCAAUAAUUCCCCAAGAUAGGGCUGCCAUGUCAGAAGUGAUUUGAAGGCACACAACAACAGCAAAAGCAAAGCUUGUUAAAAUUCGAAGAUGUUUUCAGCUACUGGUUAUACAUCUACAUCUACCUUUUGCUCCUUCUCUCAGUCUCAAUCAAUAUCUGUUUGAAGAGUGAGACUCUGUGCUUCCUUUGAAGCUGCUUCGAACUCUUUGAAAUGAUAUCUUUUGCUCCCUCCAAUUGCCAUUGACUAAUGCAAAGGUAUCCUCUUCCACUUGAAGAGGAUGUGAGCAAAGAGGAUCUUUAAUUAAUAUUGCGCCCCAAAUAAGAUCUUUUUUUGCAGAAUGGGCACUAUAUGUAAUAGGUAAAAGCACAUCUUAUUAUAUUAACCAUGAUGGUAGUUUACCAUUAUUUUCACAAACAGCAAAUGAACACUUGCAUCAUAAAAGUCAUCCAUCUAUGAAGAGUAUUAUCGUAUGUUAUCCAUGGUCAGAAUAGUUUUAGCUUAAGGGAUGGGAAUUUGAUGAGGGGCCUUGUACAAUGAAGGAAGCAAUGGGAUUUGGCAUUAAAUAUAAAGUUUACAGGUUUUUUUUAAGUAAUUCUCAAUUUCUUAGAGGAGAAGCUAUUUUUGUCAAGAUAAGCCUUUCAUAGCUUUUGCGAAUAGUAUAGGCGACAUCCCAAGUACAUUAAGUUUCAGCAUUAAUAUCAGAAAGAUUUGGCAUCUCUGAUUCCUUCCUUUUUGUAAAAAGAAUAAUUCAAUGGAAAAGCAGAAAUUAAUUUUUUCACUACAAAUGAAAAAUGUAACUAUCUUUGAGAUUUUUUCCAAAUACAAUCUGUUUUGUCAUCUGCAGAUAUAUUUGCGGUUAUCCUUUCAUAUUAUGUUUAUCCUUACAGAUUGGGUGUUUCAUGUGCUGAUACUGCUAAUAAACUAACGAAGCUAAUGAUAACAAUGUACUAAUGUCUGUAUGUGUAUUAAACCCAGUGUUGCCACUUCAGCACAUUUACUAAAUUCCACCAAGUCCUACAAUUAAAAUCUGGUAAGCCACUGUGUUCAUCACAUUAGGAUAGGUUCAAGUGUAGGGUAGAACAUUCUUUCCAUAUUUUAAGUGUGAGAGCCAGGAUUCUUUUCAAACAUUUCGGGAGGUGGUGGGGAAGUGGGUUUUUGGGGAAUGAGCCAAAUAAAUGGCCACUUCUGUAAUGUGAUGGCAUUUGUUGCUCUCAGGA